This is a long non-coding RNA of Prosopis cineraria, 5494 nucleotides long. RefSeq lists it as uncharacterized. Lineage: Eukaryota; Viridiplantae; Streptophyta; Magnoliopsida; Fabales; Fabaceae. The record is from RefSeq and is a predicted model, not a curated record. The transcript is spliced from 2 exons.
AUGGGACAUGCGGAAUGAAAGUUGAUGGAGGAAGAGAUCUUACAAUCCCAGUACAUCUUUGCCCGAGGCCCAAUGGAAAGAGAUCUUCCAUUUUACUUUAUACAACAACAACAAGCCUUACGGGAUAGCAAAGAAAUCUUCCAUUUUACUUUAUAAGUAAUUAUUUUAUUGUGUGAGAGAAAAUUAUACAUAUUUAUAAUAAAAGCCCCUUGACCUAAAAUUGCUUUCUUUUUGGACAAUGAUGUGCAUCAGAAAUUGUGAGGCAUCCACAUGUCUCAACUAAAAUCUUAGCAGAACUGCAAUUUUUUUCAUUAUCCUAUUGUCACAUAACUAAACAACAUUGUCUUGUCACAUAACUAAACGUAGGAUAAAAUAAAAGGUUCCAUGAAAAUGUUUACUGGUAUCUGUAAAAUAUUUUAUCUAGCUAGUCUCUUAUCCAUAUGUUUUGUUGGUAUGAUUUCUCCUGAUUAUUUCCUUUCUCUUACAAAAUAACAAUCCAUCUCAACAUGCUUUGUCCAUUAAUUCAUGAUUUCUCCUGAUGCACAACCCAAUCUCUAGUGCCAAAUUUUAGGUUGCCAGCCUAAUGACUACUACAAGCACCCUUCAUCUUCUAUUAGCUCUAGGAUGUAGAAACUCUCACAAUGCCUACUCUAACCAAGUCCCCGUUUACCUCUGUAAUUCUGGCAAAGAUAGAAAGAGAGGGAAAGAGAGAUAGAAACAGAGGAAAGAAGAACAAAAAGAAUGAGAGAAUCAGAGAGAGAUUAAGAGGAGUAGACAGACAAGAGAGGUACUAAAUAUAUGCAGGUCUCUACUGAUGACUUAACAUGAGGGCAUGCAAAUAAGUAAGAGAUAUUUUUAGGCUCUAAUAUAACAGUUAAUAUUUUAACUAACCUAACCGUAAGCUUAAUACCUAACUAUUGUCAUAUUUACAAUUAUAUAGCAAUAACCCCCUUUCAAAAGACCCUUGCCCUCAAGGUUUAGAUACAACAAAUGAUGGAAAUUACUGUUGAAAUUGAUGAAGUGACAUCUAGGAGGCUUCCUCAUCAGGUUUGUCCUUCCAUUGAACUAGAAUUUCUGUAAUAAUUCUUCCUCACUUUCUACCAACCCUUUUGUUCAAAAUUUUCUCGGGCUCUAGUAUAGGUGGUAGUGCAGCCCAAUCAUUAGAAGGGAUGGUGUUGCUUUACUUUAGGAGCAGGACACAAUUUUAACAAGACACAUGGAAAGUUGGAUGAAUCCUUGAUUCUAUAGGUAAUUCUAGCUUGUAUACAACAACUCAAACCCUUUCCAAAACCUUAUAAGGACUGUAAUAAUGAGGAGCUAACUUCUGGGAACUUCUGUUGAAAUUUGAUGAUAGGGCUGGAGUUUAAGAAAAACCUACUAUGCCAUUGCAAAUUCUCGGUCAUCCUAUGCGAGCCAGCCUUUUGCUUUGUCAAAUUGGCUGCCCUUUGAAGAUGAUGUUUAAAACAACCAAAACUUCCUCCCUAGCUGUGAAUGACCUAUCCAAGGCAUCUAAAACAUUGUUGUGAGGUAAAUAGGGAUUUCAUAAGGAGUAGCCUAGUUAGUUGUUGUGUGAAAAGUGGUGUCAUACCACCAUUCUACUUGUGGCAGCCACUUGCUCCAGUCCUUGGGUCACUCCCAACACAUGUAACAGAGAUAAGUUUCUAAACAACGGUUGAGACUUUAGAUUGGCCAUCAGUUGAGGGUGAUAGGCUAUACAAAGAUGCUAUUUCACCCCUAAAACCUGCAGAAACUCUUUCCAAAAUCCAGUAACAAAGAAAGGGGCUCAGUCACAAAUAAUUUCUUAAGGUGCUCCAUGUAAUUUGUAAAUAUUAUCUAUAAAAAUCUGGGUUAAAGAAGAAGCUAAAAAAGGAUGAGUAAGAGGUAGAAAAUGUGCAUAGUUACUCAUACAAUCAACCACAAACCAAAUCGUGUCCUUACCAAAAGAUUUAGGUAGACCUUCAAUGAAGUCCAUAGUGAUGCUUUCCCAUACCUUGCUAGGAAUAGGUAAAGGCUACAAUAAUCCAAGUGUAGCCAAAGUCUCAUUUUUUUCACCUAGCAUAAGUGUCACUGUUUAAUAAAAUGAGAGAUAUCAUUUAUCAGUUUUUUCCACCAAAAUAAAGAUUUAACCCUUUGAUAGGUAGCUUGGAUUUUUGAGUGGCCUCCUUGAGGACUAGAGUGAAGCCAUUCCAAUAUUUGUUGCCUCAAAUCAGAUUUAUUCCCCACCACUAGCUUCCAUUUCCUUCUAAGAAAAUCACCAUCAUAUGUGAAAUGUCCCCAAACUCCAUCCUGCUAUUGGACUUCCUCUCUUAUUGUUGUUAUGACAGCAUCAUUAUCCUAGCUUUCUUUUAUUUUUACAAGCAACUCAUGUGAAGUAGUAUCAUAAAUCAUUUGCAUCAGUUGUUUAGGCAUCUGAGAGAGAGCAUCUGCGAGAGAAUUAUUAUUCCCUUCUAUGCUAAAUUUCAUAAUCAAACCCAACUAGCUUUGCCAACCACAACAUCUGGAAAGAUGUCUUCAAAUUUUGUCCCAUUAAAUAUUUUAAACUCUGUUGGUCUAAUAGAAUGAUAAAUGUCCUUCUUUAAAGAUAUUGGUGCCAAUGAAGCAUUGCCAAAACCAUGGCCAUUAGCUCUUUUUCAUAAACGGAGAGCUUUUGGUGUCUUUCAGCUAAUCCCUUGCUGAAACAAGCUAUUGGCUAUCCAUUUGCAUUAAAAACAGCCCCCUAACCAACCCCACACGCGUCAACUUCUACUACAAAUUGCUUGUUGAACUUUACAAGAGUGAGGACAGGGGCUAAAGUUAGUACUUUCUUGAGAUUCUGAAGUGAUUCAGCUGCAGAAUUGGUCUAUCUGAAGCCAUUCUUCUUAAGGAGUAGAGUCAAUGGCUUAGUUAAAACACCAAUCCCUUGAUGAGUCGUCUAUAAUAUUUAGCCAGCUCUAAAAAUGCUUAGUUGCUUGAUAUUCCUCAGUUCAGGCCAUUCAGCCAUUGCCUGAAUCUUUUCUAGGAUUGUUCUCACCUUCCUUUCGCUAAUUAAGUGCCCUAAAUACUCCACUUUGGUGUAGCAAAAGAGCACUUGCUCUUUUUAAUCAAAUAACAUUUUUUUCUUAGGAUAGAGAAGACUUGUUUUGGGUGCUGCCCAUGAUCCUCAAGGUUAGCACUAUAAAGCAAAAUAUCAUCAAAAAAUACUAAAACAAACCAUUCUCAAACAAGGGCAAAAAAAUGCUGUUCAUAAUUCCUUGAAAGGUUGCUGGUGCAUUAUUUAAGCCAAAUGGCAUAGCUAACCACUCAUAGUGCCCACUAUGAGUCUUGAAAGCAAUUCUUAAAACAUCUUGAGGUGCCAUUCUGAUUUGAUGGAAGUCAGCCCUUAAAUCCAAUUUUGUGAACCAUCUUGCUGCACUUAAUUCAUCAAACAAAUCCUCAACCAAAGGAAUAAGGUAUUGAUUCUUCAUUGUCGUCUUGUUCAAUUCCCUAUAAUCAAUAAACAUUCUCCAACUGCCAUCCUUCUUUUACCCCAUUCUGUAAUAACUCUCUCACCAACCCUUCAAUCACAUCUUUUGGGCUCAGGGGUCUCUAUAGGGUUUCAAAUUGAUAGGAUUAAUGCCUUCUUGAAGCCACUAUGGGGUGGUCAUGACUUCCUGAAAUGGUGACAGCCCUUUUAGUGCUCCAAAAAGGUCUGAAAAUUCGUGCUGAGUGCUGGAAAUUGCUUCAGGGAUUUCUGAACAGAGGUCUGGACAGCGAAUAACUCAAUCUUUUCUUGUCCAUUUGUCACCGACUGCAGCAAGAAAACCUGGUCAUCUUGUAAAUCCUUGAUAUCCAGCUUCUUAUCCAUUUGCCAUCAAAGUUUGCCAUUCUGGUUUCUAUGAUGCCCCUUACGUCCAUUGCCUUAAUGCCUAUUUCUGGUAUUGUCAUGUUCACAGUCACACUUCAGCAUCUGUUGCUGAUUCAAGAGGCCUUCAACCAGUUCAGACAAGGCAUCAACCUUGCCACGGUGUUCUUCAAGCUUGACCAUGCAUUCUUCCAUUUCUUCUUGUUUCUGGCUUCAAGUCUUGACCAUGUACUGUCAGAAUGAGAAGGGAAAGAGGCCAAGGAAUGCCUGGCUCUAGAUACCACUGUUAUACCUCUGUAAUUCUACAGAGAGAGAAACAGAGAGAGAGAGAACAGAGGAGAGAAGAACAGGAAGAAUCAGAGAAUCAGAGAGAGAUUGAGAGGAAUAGAGAGAUGAGAAGUACUGAACAUACGCAGGUCUGUAUUGAGGGCUCAACAUGAGAGCAUACAAAUAAGUAAGAGGUAUUUAUUUCUAGUCUCUAAUAGAACAGUUAAUAUCUUAAAUAACCUAACGGCUAGUUUCAUACCUCACUAUUGUCGUAUUUACAAUUAUACAACAGUCCCUGGAGGUAAGUCCUGUACAACACAAAAAAUCAGCAACAAAUGUCAGUAAAAUUAUACUCUCUCGUCAGCUUUGAAUUUAAAUUUCAUUUAAAUUGUGGAAUAUUCAAAACAGCAUUGAUUCCUUCCAUUGGGCACCUUGGCUCUUCCAACACCCUCAACUAGUAUUCACUGUCCAUUUGAAAUUUGGAUUGGUCUUUGCUUGGUUGUCUUUCUUCGUUCUUAAUCAGGUCACAGUCGAAGGUAAUGUUCUUGGUUGUUCCAGAAUUGAUAACCCAUAGGCCUAUGCAAGAAUUUUACUAGCCUUCUUUGCAUCGGAUUGAGCAGGUUUGCAUUGAGAGCAGCAUUCUUGGUAGUGUAUAGUUCAUAGCAGCCUCUAUUAAUCCUACUUUUGCUCCAGUUUCGAUGGUUUGCUUCACUUUUCUAUACUGAUUGCCCUUAAAUCCGAUGAAUACCCAGUUAUUUCUAAACAAUGAUCCCACCCAGCGUGUCCCAACUUUUGACAAUGAAUUGAUCUCAUAUCAGUUAUCUACCCUACAUAAUUGUUGUCAUGGUGGAGUUCACUUGAAUAAAUUUGUCGGAUAAUUGUUUGGUGAAUGGAUAUAGUAUAUGGACAUCAAAUCUAUACUGUGUCUUUGCCUUUUGUCAUCUUGUUCUUCUCAGUUCUCAUUGCUUGUGUUUAACAUCGUAGAUUCGUAGGUGUCUUUUUCUUUGCGGCAACCAUCAGGAUAUUGAUAAUGUGCUAAUGUCAUAUAUAUACAUUGCAAGUUGUGCACGAUGCCUCAGGUUUUGAAGAAAAUUCCAAUCCUCUGGAACUCGAAGAGUGAAAAGAAAUUUCGUGUGACGCUUUUGACUAUCUCGCCACCCGAUUCGGAAAGACAGUUAAAGCCCAUCUUAACUGUCAAGUGUCACACUUAUGCUUCCAAUAACUGAAUGCAAUGAAAGAUAGUUAAAGCCCGUCUUAACGGUCAUAUUUGCAUUUCAUUGUUUCAUAUAUAAUCUUAUCUAUUCCAUUGUUUCAUAUAUAAUCUUAUCCGUUCCUAUUUCAUAUUUCAUGUCUAGAAGCAUCUUUAAACUUCUCUGACACUUCUAGAAAAUCAGUGGUUUGAGACAA